UGCCAGCCGCCGCGGUAAUAUGGAGGGUGCAAGCGUUAUCCGGAUUUACUGGGUUUAAGGGUGCGCAGGCGGUACUUUAAGUCAGUGGUGAAAGCUUUCAGCUUAACUGGAAAAUUGCCAUUGAUACUGAAGUACUUGAGUAUGGUAGAGGUAGGCGGAAUACAACAUGUAGCGGUGAAAUGCAUAGAUAUGUUGUAGAACACCAAUUGCGAAGGCAGCUUACUAAACCAUUACUGACGCUCAGGCACGAAAGCGUGGGGAGCGAACAGGAUUAGAUA
This 278-nucleotide ribosomal RNA is filed under the name uncultured bacterium. RNAcentral's name for it is "partial 16S ribosomal RNA". It matches the Rfam family "Bacterial small subunit ribosomal RNA", at positions 506 to 784 of the family's 1533-position model. The record is from RNAcentral.